RNAcentral lists this ribosomal RNA (404 nucleotides) under uncultured bacterium. RNAcentral's name for it is "bacterial SSU rRNA". It matches the Rfam family "Bacterial small subunit ribosomal RNA", at positions 133 to 518 of the family's 1533-position model. The record is from RNAcentral.
UAAGAGGGGGAGUAACAUACCGGAACGGGUGCUAAUACCGCAUAGUUUUCUUGAUCGCAUGAUCGGGAAAGGAAAGACGGCCUUUGUGCUGUCGCUUAUGGAUGGACCCGCGGCGUAUUAGUUAGUUGGUGAGGUAACGGCUCACCAAGACGAUGAUACGUAGCCGACCUGAGAGGGUGAUCGGCCACAUUGGGACUGAGACACGGCCCAAACUCCUACGGGAGGCAGCAGUAGGGAAUCUUCCGCAAUGGACGAAAGUCUGACGGAGCAACGCCGCGUGAGUGAAGAAAAGGUUUUCGGAUCGUAAAACUCUGUUGUCAGAGAAGAACAAGUUGGAGAGUAACUGCUCCAGCCUUGACGGUAUCUGACCAGAAAGCCACGGCUAACUACGUGCCAGCAGCCGC